Molecule: ribosomal RNA, 497 nt
Filed under: uncultured bacterium
Lineage: Bacteria
Description: partial 16S ribosomal RNA
Rfam family: Bacterial small subunit ribosomal RNA
Source: RNAcentral
GAUGAACGCUGGCGGCGUGCCUAAUACAUGCAAGUCGAGCGAACAGACGAGGAGCUUGCUCCUCGGAUGUUAGCGGCGGACGGGUGAGUAACACGUGGAUAACCUACCUAUAAGACGGGGAUAACUUCGGGAAACCGGAGCUAAUACCGGAUAACAUGUUGAACCGCAGGGUUCAACAGUGAAAGACGGUCUUUCUGUCACUGAUAGAUGGAUCCGCGCCGCAUUAGCUAGUUGGUAAGGUAACGGCUUACCAAGGCAACGAUGCGUAGCCGACCUGAGAGGGUGAUCGGCCACACUGGAACUGAGACACGGUCCAGACUCCUACGGGAGGCAGCAGUAGGGAAUCUUCCGCAAUGGGCGAAAGCCUGACGGAGCAACGCAGCGUGAGUGAAGAAGGUCUUCGGAUCGUAAAACUCUGUUAUUAGGGAAGAACAAAUGUGUAAGUAACUAUGCACGUAUUGACGGUACCUAAUGAGAAAGCCACGGCUAACUACGUG